Non-coding RNA from Picea glauca (white spruce), 121 nucleotides. Lineage: Eukaryota; Viridiplantae; Streptophyta; Pinopsida; Pinales; Pinaceae. The record is from Rfam.
ACAUGCCUACAACAUAGCUUUAAUGCAUCAUAUCCCAUUAGAACUACGCAACUAAGAGUGCUUGGGCUAGAGUAGUACUGGGAUGGGUAACCACCCGAGAAGUGCUAGUAUUUUACAUGCC